ACCUCUGAGGUCUUAAGCACGUCAAAACUUAAAACAUAGAACUUACGACUCUUAUGCUCCCAAACACUGACCACAGCACAAGAACAGCUGAAUCACAUGAACAAGUUCGGCCUCGACGCCUUGAACGUGGUCUUCAGCUUCCUGGUUGGGGGCCUGAUCUUGCGGGAGACGAGGGGGAACUUGAUCUUCGAGUUGUGGAACUGCUUGGUGUUGUCCCUCUUGCACAGCUUGAAGUGGACCGUGGCAGUCUUGAUGAUCUGGAUGCAGGGCGCCCUCACACGGUGGCGGGAAGCCAUCUCAUUGUACAUCUGCUCCACUGCACCGUUCAGGGUGGUGUCACGGUACUCCUUGUACAUGUUGUGGUAGCCGGUUCUGCUCUGGUAGCGCAGCCAGAUGCCAUAGUUCUUGAUCGUAGUUGGGUUACGCUCAAAGAUCUGAAACAACAUACAGAACUUUGUGAGUGCUACAACACAAAGAACACCAUUUUGUGGAUCAUUGUCUAACAAUCAUUUAUGCAAAGUGCUCAAAAGGUCAAAAUAACAAACAUAAUGUUAACGUGUAAUCAAACACUCAGACAAUAACCCCACUGGAGCUGCCAGCCAUCCGGGAUAAUCUCAAUACCUAGUUGGUUCCCAAUGCAGUUUAAAUACAGCUAACACAUCUGACAGUGCAGACAGCAAUAUUUAGGUGACAAGGAGACAAGACUGCUCAUUUUCUGAGAUCAUGGCAAUACUUAGAUUGAUUAUUGCAACGUGUUCAUUGUAUUAGAGGCAACAUUCAGAAAUACCCAAUACACAACUAGCUGAUAGUGGGUGAAAACAGACCCCAAAACAAAAUAAAUUUGGUGAUAUAACUACAAAUCAAACAAUUGCGACCAUAAUGGCAUACACCAACAGCUCGGUACAAUGUAAUUAUGUCAUCAGUUUGCCAAUCCUAGGCUAUAUCAAAUCAACAGCAGUGCUGAGCUACAAUCUCCAGACAAACUUCCACUCAUAAUAUAUUGCUUACUAAAGGUCAUACUAACAUCAAAACAAUAUUAAUAUUGGAGACCGUGACUCCCGGAGACAAACAUGGUUGGGCGUCCGGAACAUAGCGACCAUACACAAAUUGUUAGAAGCAUGGUGCUAAACAAGCAGCGAUAGGAUAGCAAGGUUCAUAUGGAGCAAUCUGAUGUGCUAAAAAAGGCGUGCAUAUCGCAGAAGCAGGCGUACCUCGUUGAUGGCGAGGACCUGGCCGUUGCUCUUCUUAACCUUCUUGAGCUUCCUGAGGAAGUACCUGCACACGGGCAACAGCCGGAGUUUAGGUGCCAACUCAGAUCGAAGAUGAACGAAAGCCUUCGACAAAGAAAUCUGCAGAAAGCGCGGAGAUUACGGCUUACCAGAACUUGCUCUUGGCGCGGACCUCGUUGGUGGCCCAGAGCUUCAUGCGGUAGAUCUUGGGGUGCUCAUCGCCGGGCGUCGGCAGCGCGCGCCCCACGACCUGGU
This 1484-nucleotide long non-coding RNA is filed under the name Setaria viridis. RNAcentral's name for it is "long non-coding RNA (SVIR_LNC005983)". Lineage: Eukaryota; Viridiplantae; Streptophyta; Magnoliopsida; Poales; Poaceae. The record is from RNAcentral.